CCUAGGGUGGCAGCAGUGGGGAAUAUUGGACAAUGGGCGAAAGCCUGAUCCAGCCAUGCCGCGUGUGUGAAGAAGGCCUUCGGGUUGUAAAGCACUUUCAGUGGGGAAGAAAGCCUUGGGGCUAAUACCCUCGAGGAAGGACAUCACCCACAGAAGAAGCACCGGCUAACUCCGUGCCAGCAGCCGCGGUAAUACGGAGGGUGCGAGCGUUAAUCGGAAUUACUGGGCGUAAAGCGCGCGUAGGCGGUCUGAUAAGCCGGUUGUGAAAGCCCCGGGCUCAACCUGGGAACGGCAUCCGGAACUGUCAGGCUAGAGUGCAGGAGAGGAAGGUAGAAUUCCCGGUGUAGCGGUGAAAUGCGUAGAGAUCGGGAGGAAUACCAGUGGCGAAGGCGGCCUUCUGGACUGACACUGACGCUGAGGUGCGAAAGCGUGGGUAGCAAACAGGAUUAGAUACCCUUGUAGUC
This 464-nucleotide ribosomal RNA is filed under the name Vreelandella stevensii. Its description in RNAcentral is "partial 16S ribosomal RNA". It matches the Rfam family "Bacterial small subunit ribosomal RNA", at positions 338 to 795 of the family's 1533-position model. The record is from RNAcentral. Lineage: Bacteria; Pseudomonadati; Pseudomonadota; Gammaproteobacteria; Oceanospirillales; Halomonadaceae.